GGAGUUGAAGAGGAACAGUGAUGAACAAGCCCUAGAUUCGAGGAUAGUUCGGUGGAGAUUCAAGAUCCGGAGUGGUAUGGUGGUUUAAUCGGUGGAUAUGGUUAGAAUUUGAUUUCAAUCGGUGAAAAAGAAGGAAAAGGUAACAUCAAUUGGUCCAAGGUGAGGAAAAAGGCGAGGAGAAUACGAAUAUGAGAAAUGGUUCAGUGAGAAAACUUACGGUGGAGGUGAGGAAACUGUGGUUCGUGGUGGAAGAUGCGUUUGGUCGUGGAGUCGAUGGAGAGGAAACGAGCCUUGCGCGAGAAUGAUAUGUGUUGUGCAAAUGAAGAUAUGGUGUUGAGUUCGCGAGAAAGAGAUCUCGAGAGAGAUAUCGUGUAUGCGUGGCAGUAGGCCUGAUGUGAGCCACAAGGACGUUGUUGAUUGGUGAGAGUGAGAAAUUAUGAUGUGAAAAUGAGAGAAAUGAAAGUGUGAGAUGAAAGGUGGCCAGAGGAGAUCCUUUGGGAUUCUCUCACCUUGACUUUCAAGGUAGAAUUGCUCUAGAGUUUUCUCAACAUAAUACAAUUCAAUAUGCUCAAAAGUGAUUACAAGAGAUGUUUAUAUGUCUAUAUAU
This 607-nucleotide long non-coding RNA is filed under the name Vigna radiata. Its description in RNAcentral is "long non-coding RNA (VRAD_LNC002280)". The record is from RNAcentral. Lineage: Eukaryota; Viridiplantae; Streptophyta; Magnoliopsida; Fabales; Fabaceae.